Lolium rigidum is the source of this 504-nucleotide long non-coding RNA. RefSeq lists it as uncharacterized. The transcript is spliced from 3 exons. Lineage: Eukaryota; Viridiplantae; Streptophyta; Magnoliopsida; Poales; Poaceae. The record is from RefSeq and is a predicted model, not a curated record.
AGACCAACGACUGCCGCGCGUUCCAUGUCGACACCCUUGCCCUGGUGAGGAAUCUGGAGUCGCAGGGCGUCUCUAGGGCCGAGAUGUAGAAGAGUGAGAUGCUGCAGGAGGCCAACAUCUCCAAGUUGAAGUCACAAGUGCAAAGUUCACAGGUAUUUGUUGGAACUUGGAAGCAAACUCUAUGGUAUUGGAUAUGUUGAUUAGUAGUUUUGAAAUCCGACAUGAGAUCUAUGUCCCGUUCCUCCAUGUAAUGUGUCAUCUCUGUCCCCUUCUUAAUUUUUCACAUGCACUACAUAAUAUCAAGGAGGGAGUAGCUACUAGCUAGUAGCUCUGUCUGGUAGUGAUGUAGUCUCUGGUGAAGCGACAUGUGUGGACGGCAGUCUGCACCAAUAUGCGCACUAGCUAUGUUCAAUGUUCUUUGCUUUACAGGACAUACUAGAAACCAAAUGGCACCCUUUUCUUAAGCACUGUUCAGUUUGUUAAGCACCCUUUUUCUUAUCUCAU